Molecule: long non-coding RNA, 827 nt
Organism: Drosophila ananassae
Lineage: Eukaryota; Metazoa; Arthropoda; Insecta; Diptera; Drosophilidae
Exons: 2
Source: RefSeq, a predicted model, not a curated record
GGGACCCUAAACAGAGAAAAUUUGAUUGGAAUUCAAGAUAAAUUGAAGGUUUUAGGCUUAAAAUCAGUUUGUUUCAUUCCAGGUUGGAAUUUAAUUUUAAACCUCAAAAUUAGUCCCAAAAACCACCUAAAUUCCAGUCACUAUAGUGACUGUUCCUAUUCAAUUAAGGCAUGUUUUGUAAUACAACUGAAUGGGUAUUAUUCAAAACCAUUUAAAAAACACACGGUCGUUUAUUCUGGUCUGGUCUGUGGGAUGUAAGAAACGCGCAUGGGGCUGAGCUAAACAAUAAACACAAAAGCUGAACAGCGAUGAGCUUCGCGCGCCUUUCUGAUAAACGGCCGUAUAAGAUCGCGGUGGGAAGUUCUGCGUCCGAAUCUCGACAUGGCCAGGUUAUCGGCAGGUGCAUUGCCGCUGAACGCUUAAGUGCUUCGCUUCAAUGCACCACAAUGCAGAGCCGACGUUCCGCAUCAAUGCAGUUGUUUGAAGUGCGUUUUUUGAAAUGUUUUCGCAAAAAACAUUCAACCUGAUGGACCAACCGAAGUCCAAAACGGAAAAGAGUGCUUGUUAGAGUGCAUUUAAGCCAUCAAACGUUCGUGCUUUCGAUUUAAAAGUAAAACAAUUACACAAAACUAUACAAAGCGAGUGAGAAGAAUCUUAAAUGAGAAAACCAAUUAUUUUAAUUGACACCAAGAGCUCCGAAUUAAGCGAUUAUCUCAAUUUAAGCUGGUUAAUUAUUAUCCGAAAAUUCUGGCCAGAACAAAAAAUGUUGACACGAGAUCUUAAGAUAAAUGUAUCUGUAUCUGAAAGAAAUACUGUAUGAUUAGUCA